CUGCCCCAUUGAUUCCACUGCGGCUCAAGCAAAUGAGAGUUAGCCAGAUUCAUGGUUUUACCACAGCACGGUCCAGUCGUUCUGAGUGUACAAGAAUGACCGCAUCAGGGAUGUGCGCCUAAUUAAGCACUUAGUCGAUAACCCACUCCCUCUGGGCUGAGGCAUUUGCCUCAUCCACUGAAGGAACGAGAUCAAGCUGGGCAGUGAGCGUGGGUAAUCCAUGCAAGAAGAACUCCUUUAAGUGACCCAUAGAACCGGACUUGCGGACUGCGGGUGAGGACGAGGGUGAGGACGCGGGUGAGGACAUUCUUUAGAGAAAUCUCAGUCUGCAGCUGAGAAGACACAUUGAAAUCGCGGCAGUAGUGCAGAUCCUGGCUUUAAAUCACAUUGCACCCCCUACUGGAACAGGCAGUGCUGUAAACCUCAGAUGUCAGAAGCAUUUCUGAAAAUCUAGAAUUAUAUUUCGUUAUCGGCGGGAGAGCAGACCUUUUGACUCGUGGAAAAUGCCCAACACUGAGUUACUUCGGGGACUGCUCUGUAAAACAAAGUCUCUUUAGAAGCCAAACUUAAUCAUGCAGUUAAAUUAGCACACUCUAUGACUGUUUAUAAAAAUAAAAUGAUUAAGCCCGAAUACGCC
This 637-nucleotide long non-coding RNA is filed under the name Rattus norvegicus (Norway rat). Its description in RNAcentral is "partial HAfT3". The record is from RNAcentral. Lineage: Eukaryota; Metazoa; Chordata; Mammalia; Rodentia; Muridae.